RNAcentral lists this ribosomal RNA (497 nucleotides) under uncultured bacterium. Its description in RNAcentral is "partial 16S ribosomal RNA". It matches the Rfam family "Bacterial small subunit ribosomal RNA", at positions 28 to 507 of the family's 1533-position model. The record is from RNAcentral.
GAUGAACGCUGGCGGCGUGCCUAAUACAUGCAAGUCGAGCGAACGGACGAGAAGCUUGCUUCUCUGAUGUUAGCGGCGGACGGGUGAGUAACACGUGGAUAACCUACCUAUAAGACUGGGCUAACUUCGGGAAACCGGAGCUAAUACCGGAUAAUAUUUUGAACCGCAUGGUUCAAAAGUGAAAGACGGUCUUGCUGUCACUUAUAGAUGGAUCCGCGCUGCAUUAGCUAGUUGGUAAGGUAACGGCUUACCAAGGCAACGAUGCAUAGCCGACCUGAGAGGGUGAUCGGCCACACUGGAACUGAGACACGGUCCAGACUCCUACGGGAGGCAGCAGUAGGGAAUCUUCCGCAAUGGGCGAAAGCCUGACGGAGCAACGCCGCGUGAGUGAUGAAGGUCUUCGGAUCGUAAAACUCUGUUAUUAGGGAAGAACAUAUGUGUAAGUAACUGUGCACAUCUUGACGGUACCUAAUCAGAAAGCCACGGCUAACUACGUG